AACGAACGCUGGCGGCAGGCCUAACACAUGCAAGUCGAGCGGACCUUUCGGGGUCAGCGGCGGACGGGUGAGUAACGCGUGGGAAUAUGCCCUUCUCUACGGAAUAGUCCUGGGAAACUGGGGGUAAUACCGUAUACGCCCUUUGGGGGAAAGAUUUAUCGGGGAAGGAUUAGCCCGCGUUGGAUUAGGUAGUUGGUGGGGUAAUGGCCUACCAAGGCGACGAUCCAUAGCUGGUUUGAGAGGAUGAUCAGCCACACUGGGACUGAGACACGGCCCAGACUCCUACGGGAGGCAGCAGUGGGGAAUCUUAGACAAUGGGGGCAACCCUGAUCUAGCCAUGCCGCGUGAGUGAUGAAGGCCUUAGGGUUGUAAAGCUCUUUCAGCUGGGAAGAUAAUGACGGUACCAGCAGAAGAAGCCCCGGCUAACUCCGUG
This 433-nucleotide ribosomal RNA is filed under the name uncultured bacterium. RNAcentral describes it as "partial 16S ribosomal RNA". It matches the Rfam family "Bacterial small subunit ribosomal RNA", at positions 29 to 507 of the family's 1533-position model. The record is from RNAcentral.